ACCGCCCUCUUUCUUCAUGCCUAACACAUGCAAGUCGAGCGAGCAUUUCGGUGCUAGCGGCGGACGGGUGAGUAACGCGUGGGAACGUGCCCUUUUCUGCGGAAUAGUCCUGGGAAACUGGGGGUAAUACCGCAUACGCCCUUUUGGGGAAAGAUUUAUCGGAGAAGGAUCGGCCCGCGUUGGAUUAGGUAGUUGGUGGGGUAAUGGCCCACCAAGCCGACGAUCCAUAGCUGGUUUGAGAGGAUGAUCAGCCACACUGGGACUGAGACACGGCCCAGACUCCUACGGGAGGCAGCAGUGGGGAAUCUUAGACAAUGGGGGCAACCCUGAUCUAGCCAUGCCGCGUGAGUGAUGAAGGCCUUAGGGUUGUAAAGCUCUUUCAGCUGGGAAGAUAAUGACGGUACCAGCAGAAGAAGCCCCGGCUAACUCCGUG
RNAcentral lists this ribosomal RNA (433 nucleotides) under uncultured bacterium. RNAcentral's name for it is "partial 16S ribosomal RNA". It matches the Rfam family "Bacterial small subunit ribosomal RNA", at positions 36 to 507 of the family's 1533-position model. The record is from RNAcentral.